RNAcentral lists this ribosomal RNA (468 nucleotides) under uncultured bacterium. RNAcentral's name for it is "partial 16S ribosomal RNA". It matches the Rfam family "Bacterial small subunit ribosomal RNA", at positions 29 to 507 of the family's 1533-position model. The record is from RNAcentral.
ACGAACGCUGGCGGCGUGCUUAACACAUGCAAGUCGAACGAUGAAGCCUUAGCUUGCUUUGGUGGAUUAGUGGCGAACGGGGGAGUAACACGUGAGCAACGUGCCCAGGACUCUGGAAUAACCGCGGGAAACCGUGGCUAAUACCGGAUAGGUGCCGAGGCCGCAUGGUCGUCGGUUGGAAAGUUUUUGCGGUUCUGGAUCGGCUCACGGCCUAUCAGCUUGUUGGUGGGGUAAUGGCCUACCAAGGCGACGACGGGUAGCCGGCCUGAGAGGGUGACCGGCCACACUGGGACUGAGACACGGCCCAGACUCCUACGGGAGGCAGCAGUGGGGAAUAUUGCACAAUGGGCGCAAGCCUGAUGCAGCAACGCCGCGUGGGGGAUGACGGCCUUCGGGUUGUAAACCUCUUUUAGUAGGGAAGAAGCGCAAGUGACGGUACCUGCAGAAAAAGCACCGGCUAACUACGUG